CUACGGGACGCUCCAGUGAGGAAUAUUGCACAAUGGAGGGAACCCUGAUGCAGCAACGCCGCGUGGAGGAUGACGCAUUUCGGUGUGUAAACUCCUUUUAUAUGUCAAGAAAAUGACGGUAGCAUAUGAAUAAGCAUCGGCUAACUCCGUGCCAGCAGCCGCGGUAAUACGGAGGGUGCAAGCGUUACUCGGAAUCACUGGGCGUAAAGGACGCGUAGGCGGGUUGGAAAGUCAGGUGUGAAAUCCUACAGCUUAACUGUAGAACUGCACUUGAAACUUCUAAUCUAGAGUAUGGGAGGGGGAGAUGGAAUUAGUGGUGUAGGGGUAAAAUCCGUAGAUAUCACUAGGAAUACCUAAAGCGAAGGCGAUCUCCUGGAACAUUACUGACGCUAAGGCGUGAAAGCGUGGGGAGCAAACAGGAUUAGAUACCCUAGUAGUC
RNAcentral lists this ribosomal RNA (439 nucleotides) under uncultured bacterium. RNAcentral's name for it is "partial 16S ribosomal RNA". It matches the Rfam family "Bacterial small subunit ribosomal RNA", at positions 339 to 795 of the family's 1533-position model. The record is from RNAcentral.